This 463-nucleotide ribosomal RNA is filed under the name uncultured bacterium. Its description in RNAcentral is "partial 16S ribosomal RNA". It matches the Rfam family "Bacterial small subunit ribosomal RNA", at positions 29 to 507 of the family's 1533-position model. The record is from RNAcentral.
AGUGAACGCUGGCGGCGUGCUUAAUACAUGCAAGUCGAACGAUGACGUCCUAGCUUGCUAGGAUGGAUUAGUGGCGCACGGGUGAGUAAUAUAUAGUUAAUCUGCCUUGCACUGAGGAACAACAGUUGGAAACGAUUGCUAAUACCUCAUACUCCAACUUUACAUAAGUUAAGUUGGGAAAGUCUUUUCGGUGCAAGAUGAGACUAUAUCGUAUCAGCUAGUUGGUAAGGUAAUGGCUUACCAAGGCUAUGACGCGUAACUGGUCUGAGAGGAUGAUCAGUCACAUUGGAACUGAGACACGGUCCAAACUCCUACGGGAGGCAGCAGUAAGGAAUAUUGUGCAAUGGGGGAAACCCUGACGCAGCAACGCCGCGUGGAGGAUGACACUUUUCGGAGCGUAAACUCCUUUUGUUAGGGAAGAAUAAUGACGGUACCUAACGAAUAAGCACCGGCUAACUCCGUG